CCUCAUGUCCUUGGCUUCCUAAGUCCCAGAUGUGGUGAAGAAUGCCCAUCAACUGUGCUACUACAGAGUGCUUUUGGAUUGAGAUGAGGGAGGAGAAAUGGCUGAACUCACUCAAAUGUGAUCAUUUUCUUGGUCUAGGUCACAGCCAGGCAACACAGUCCUCUGGGCACAAUAUCAUCACUUGCCAUGUUUCUAUCAAAAUGAAAGUAUCUU
Molecule: long non-coding RNA, 213 nt
Filed under: Homo sapiens (human)
Lineage: Eukaryota; Metazoa; Chordata; Mammalia; Primates; Hominidae
Description: HSALNT0035582
Source: RNAcentral